This 486-nucleotide ribosomal RNA is filed under the name uncultured bacterium. RNAcentral describes it as "partial 16S ribosomal RNA". It matches the Rfam family "Bacterial small subunit ribosomal RNA", at positions 30 to 507 of the family's 1533-position model. The record is from RNAcentral.
AUUGAACGCUUUCUUCCUUCCUUACACAUGCAAGUCGAACGGCAGCACGGGUGCUUGCACCUGGUGGCGAGUGGCGAACGGGUGAGUAAUACAUCGGAACAUGUCCUGUAGUGGGGGAUAGCCCGGCGAAAGCCGGAUUAAUACCGCAUACGAUCUACGGAUGAAAGCGGGGGACCUUCGGGCCUCGCGCUAUAGGGUUGGCCGAUGGCUGAUUAGCUAGUUGGUGGGGUAAAGGCCUACCAAGGCGACGAUCAGUAGCUGGUCUGAGAGGACGACCAGCCACACUGGGACUGAGACACGGCCCAGACUCCUACGGGAGGCAGCAGUGGGGAAUUUUGGACAAUGGGCGAAAGCCUGAUCCAGCAAUGCCGCGUGUGUGAAGAAGGCCUUCGGGUUGUAAAGCACUUUUGUCCGGAAAGAAAUCCUUGGCCCUAAUACGGUCGGGGGAUGACGGUACCGGAAGAAUAAGCACAGGCUAACUACGGG